GCGGAGCGCGGCGCCGGCUGAGGAGCCAUGGCCCUUCUGGUGGGCCCUGGUGGUCCGACCGGCGCGGUUCGUUCCGCGGCUCCUUCC
Molecule: transfer RNA, 87 nt
Filed under: Streptomyces capitiformicae
Lineage: Bacteria; Bacillati; Actinomycetota; Actinomycetes; Kitasatosporales; Streptomycetaceae
Description: tRNA-Gln
Source: RNAcentral